RNAcentral lists this ribosomal RNA (492 nucleotides) under uncultured bacterium. RNAcentral's name for it is "partial 16S ribosomal RNA". It matches the Rfam family "Bacterial small subunit ribosomal RNA", at positions 29 to 507 of the family's 1533-position model. The record is from RNAcentral.
AGUGAACGCUGGCGGUAGGCCUAACACAUGCAAGUCGAACGGCAGCACAGUAAGAGCUUGCUCUUACGGGUGGCGAGUGGCGGACGGGUGAGGAAUACAUCGGAAUCUACUUUUUCGUGGGGGAUAACGUAGGGAAACUUACGCUAAUACCGCAUACGACCUACGGGUGAAAGCAGGGGAUCUUCGGACCUUGCGCGAUUGAAUGAGCCGAUGUCGGAUUAGCUAGUUGGCGGGGUAAAGGCCCACCAAGGCGACGAUCCGUAGCUGGUCUGAGAGGAUGAUCAGCCACACUGGAACUGAGACACGGUCCAGACUCCUACGGGAGGCAGCAGUGGGGAAUAUUGGUCAAUGGGCGCAAGCCUGAUCCAGCUAUACCGCGUGGGUGAAGAAGGCCUUCGGGUUGUAAAGCCCUUUUGUUGGGAAAGAAAAGCAGCAGGUUAAUACCCCGCUGUUCUGACGGUACCCAAAGAAUAAGCACCGGCUAACUUCGUG